UGUCUUCCCAGGUGCCAUUGGCACAUUGAAGGAACAAAUCCAUAUUAUCCAUUUCUGAUCACCGACUAUAGGAAGUUUUGUAUCUAUCUCUACUCUGGAAAAAAAUAAGACAAGUAUACAAUUUUAAAAUCAACAAUGCCUCAAAAAGUGAAAAAGAUAAGAACAGUUUAAGAGAAUUCAAAACAAGAAAUUGUAGUUCAUUACUGGACUUGAACUCAAAUUGGUGUCAAACUAACCUAGUCCUCUUCACUGACUUGCAUUAGAGUAAUAAAAAUCCUAUUGUAUCACUAUCAACUUCCAAGUUCCAAUUCCAAACUUUGAGAUAUAAGCAUCUACAGAUAGCCUUUCACCAUUAAUACCACAGAGAAUUCAACCCCAAACCUUAAUAGGUGGAGUUGAACACACCACAUUAAAGGUCAUGCCAAAUUUAUACACAACCAAGGUGGGAUCUCCUUACCAAACAUCAAGUAGUGGAACAACGAGAUUCAUGGAGCAUCAAAACCCACAUUUUCCUUUUACUGACCAUUGCAACAGGAUGCUUAAACUUUUAUGUUAAACAAAAUAACUAGUAAAAGGUCCCGAAUAACAACCAAUAAAUCAUAGAAGUAAUAUUUGUCAAAACCAAAUAAUAAAUGUGAGUGCAACAAGAUUUUAUUAAACAAGUACACAGUUCUUACUUCUAGGCACGAGGGUACUACUUACUUAUUCAUGUAGUAACAAGGUGCA
Molecule: unclassified non-coding RNA, 726 nt
Filed under: Hevea brasiliensis (rubber tree)
Lineage: Eukaryota; Viridiplantae; Streptophyta; Magnoliopsida; Malpighiales; Euphorbiaceae
Source: RNAcentral